GAUUUCUGGCUUGAAACAUUUGGCCGGCCACGGUUUCGUGUGUUAGUGCUUUAUGGUCUGGCCAUCCUUCCAAUUUCUAUUCACUAUUCUUCAUUGAUUGGUGGAUGGGAUUGGAUCUUUUACUUUGAAAAAAUUAGAGUGUUUCAAGCAGGCUUUAUGCUAUGAAUACAUUAGCAUGGAAUAAUAAUUUAGGACUUCGGUUCUAUUUUGUUGGUUUCUAGGACUGAAGUAAUGAUUGAUAGGGAUAGUUGGGGGUGCUAGUAUUCAGCGGCCAGAGGUGAAAUUCUCGGAUUCGCUGAAGACUAACUUAUGCGAAAGCAUU
This 322-nucleotide ribosomal RNA is filed under the name uncultured Sandonidae. RNAcentral describes it as "SSU rRNA". The stretch from base 62 to 322 matches the Rfam family "Eukaryotic small subunit ribosomal RNA", at positions 694 to 955 of the family's 1831-position model. Lineage: Eukaryota; Cercozoa; Glissomonadida; Viridiraptoridae. The record is from RNAcentral.